This 274-nucleotide ribosomal RNA is filed under the name uncultured bacterium. Its description in RNAcentral is "partial 16S ribosomal RNA". It matches the Rfam family "Bacterial small subunit ribosomal RNA", at positions 523 to 796 of the family's 1533-position model. The record is from RNAcentral.
AUACAGAGGGUGCAAGCGUUAAUCGGAAUUACUGGGCGUAAAGCGCGCGUAGGCGGUUUGUUGAGUUGGAUGUGAAAGCCCCGGGCUUAACCUGGGAGGGUCAUUCAAAACUGGCAGACUAGAGUGUGGUAGAGGGUAGUGGAAUUCCUAGUGUAGCAGUGAAAUGCGUAGAGAUUAGGAGGAACACCAGUGGCGAAGGCGACUGCCUGGACCAACACUGACGCUGAGGUGCGAAAGCGUGGGUAGCGAACAGGAUUAGAAACCCUGGUAGUCC